This 541-nucleotide ribosomal RNA is filed under the name uncultured bacterium. RNAcentral describes it as "bacterial SSU rRNA". It matches the Rfam family "Bacterial small subunit ribosomal RNA", at positions 356 to 896 of the family's 1533-position model. The record is from RNAcentral.
GGGGAAUAUUGGGGCAAUGGUCGAGAGACUGACCCAGCCAUGCCGCGUGCAGGAUGAAGGCCUUAUGGGUUGUAAACUGCUUUUGAUCGGGAACAAUGAGGCCAUGCGUGGCAAGAUGAGUGUACCGAUAGAAUAAGCACCGGCUAACUCCGUGCCAGCAGCCGCGGUAAUACGGAGGGUGCAAGCGUUGUCCGGAUUUAUUGGGUUUAAAGGGUGCGUAGGCGGCUGAUUAAGUCAGUGGUGAAAGGCAGCAGCUCAACUGUUAGCACGGCCAUUGAUACUGGUUAGCUUGAGUACAGUCGAGGUAGGCGGAAUUGAAGGUGUAGCGGUGAAAUGCAUAGAUAUCUUCAAGAACACCUAUUGCGAAGGCAGCUUACUAGGCUGUAACUGACGCUGAUGCACGAAAGCGUGGGGAUCGAACAGGAUUAGAUACCCUGGUAGUCCACGCCGUAAACGAUGAUCACUCGCUGUUGGCGAUAUACAGUCAGCGGCUAAGCGAAAGCAAUAAGUGAUCCACCUGGGGAGUACGACCGCAAGGUUG